This 449-nucleotide ribosomal RNA is filed under the name uncultured bacterium. RNAcentral describes it as "bacterial SSU rRNA". It matches the Rfam family "Bacterial small subunit ribosomal RNA", at positions 328 to 792 of the family's 1533-position model. The record is from RNAcentral.
GGGCCAGACUCCUACGGGAGGCAGCAGUGGGGAAUAUUGCACAAUGGGGGAAACCCUGAUGCAGCGACGCCGCGUGAGUGAAGAAGUAAUUCGUUACGUAAAGCUCUAUCAGCAGGGAAGAAAAUGACGGUACCUGAGUAAGAAGCCCCGGCUAACUACGUGCCAGCAGCCGCGGUAAUACGUAGGGGGCAAGCGUUAUCCGGAUUUACUGGGUGUAAAGAGUUGCGUAGGUGGCAUAAUAAGUAGCUAGUGAAAUCUGGUGGCUCAACCAUUCAGACUAUUAGCUAAACUGUUAAGCUCGAGACCGUUAGGGGUAACUGGAAUUUCUAGUGUAGGAGUGAAAUCCGUAGAUAUUAGAAGGAACACCAAUAGCGUAGGCAGGUUACUGGGACGGUUCUGACACUAAGGCACGAAAGCGUAGGGAGCAAACGGGAUUAGAUACCCCUGUA